UACGUAGGUGACAAGCGUUGUCCGGAUUUACUGGGCGUAAAGAGCGCGCAGGCGGUCGUUCAAGUCGGGUGUGAAAGCCCCCGGCUCAACUGGGGAGGGUCACUCGAUACUGAUCGACUCGAAGGCAGGAGAGGGAAGUGGAAUUCCCGGUGUAGUGGUGAAAUGCGUAGAUAUCGGGAGGAACACCAGUGGCGAAGGCGACUUCCUGGCCUGUUCUUGACGCUGAGGCGCGAAAGCUAGGGGAGCAAACGGG
RNAcentral lists this ribosomal RNA (253 nucleotides) under uncultured bacterium. RNAcentral's name for it is "partial 16S ribosomal RNA". It matches the Rfam family "Bacterial small subunit ribosomal RNA", at positions 524 to 776 of the family's 1533-position model. The record is from RNAcentral.